GGCCCAUUCGUCUAACGGCUAGGACGCAAGAUUUUCAUUCUUGAAAUAGGAGUUUGAUUCUCCUAUGGGCUA
Molecule: transfer RNA, 72 nt
Filed under: Caudoviricetes sp.
Lineage: Duplodnaviria; Heunggongvirae; Uroviricota; Caudoviricetes
Description: tRNA-Glu
Rfam family: tRNA
About the family: Transfer RNA (tRNA) molecules are approximately 80 nucleotides in length. Their secondary structure includes four short double-helical elements and three loops (D, anti-codon, and T loops). Further hydrogen bonds mediate the characteristic L-shaped molecular structure. tRNAs have two regions of fundamental functional importance: the anti-codon, which is responsible for specific mRNA codon recognition, and the 3' end, to which the tRNAs corresponding amino acid is attached (by aminoacyl-tRNA synthetases). tRNAs cope with the degeneracy of the genetic code in two manners: having more than one tRNA (with a specific anti-codon) for a particular amino acid; and 'wobble' base-pairing, i.e. permitting non-standard base-pairing at the 3rd anti-codon position.
Source: RNAcentral